This 1120-nucleotide long non-coding RNA is filed under the name Homo sapiens (human). RNAcentral's name for it is "HSALNT0208707". Lineage: Eukaryota; Metazoa; Chordata; Mammalia; Primates; Hominidae. The record is from RNAcentral.
UCUUGUGGUGCGCCGUUUUUUAAGCCGGUCAGAAAAGCGCAGUAUUUGGGUGGGAGCGACCCGAUUUUCCAGGUGCGUCGGUCACCCCUUCCUUUGACUCGGAAAGGGAACUCCCUGACCCCUUGCGCUUCCCAAGUGAGGCAAUGCCUCGCCCUGCUUCGGCUCGCGCAGGGUGCACACACCCACUGACCUGUGCCCACUGUCUGGCACUCCCUAGAUAGAUGAACCCGGUACCUCAGAUGGAAAUGCAGAAAUCACCCUUCUUCUGUGUCGCUCAGGCUGGGAGCUGUAGACCGGAGCUGUUCCUAUUCGGCCAUCUUGGCUCCUCCCCCACCCCCGUAUUAUCUUAAAAAUUACAAAAGAUGAUCAAGAGGAGCAUGAAAAAAUCCCCUGAAUCCAUUGGCUUUCUUCCCUAUACUGACAACAGUUUACUUGUGUAAGAGAUGCAUGCCUCGACUCCGGACCCCUUCUUUCAUCUGCAAAAUCAGCAGCACCCUCACAUCAUCUCCUGUAACAAACUCUCUCUGUCUCCUCCAUAUAAGGUCACUGAUGGUUACAUUUAGGGUCCAUGAUAUAAGAAGAUGGAUGUCUAUUGCUUUUCUCUUGAUAUUCAUGGCACUGCUCCUCUCCAUCCAUAGGAUUAUCUUAUAGAUGAGGGUCUCAUCCUUUUGCCCAGGCUGGAGUACAGUGGUGUGUAUGUAGCACACUGCAGCCUUCAACUCCUGAUCCUCCAACCUCAGCCUCCACAGUUGCUGGGAUUACAAGUUCAAGUUGGUGUGUAUCUGCAAAGGCGAUGGAAAGGAGUUCUUACAUAUGCAUAUUCUGAAGAAGGAUGUUACCCUUACUGAAAAACUUAUUCCAAGAUAUGUUUAAUCAAUCAUGAGAAAAAUAAAGAGACAUCCUUAUGAAUGGAGAAUAAAGUCCUCAGGGUUUUUUUCUAAUUCCCCAUGUGAAUGAAGAGCUGUGUUAUUCUAAAUAUAGUGUUUGUCAUAAGGCAAUUGUGUUGGUUUGAGUCCUUAGUCGCUGUGACACUGAUAGAAUUCCUAUCUCCAAUUGGAAGGUAAGUUGACCUUGCCUCACUUUUGGGCAUUUACAAAGUAAAAGUGUCUUCAUAUUCCAG